AUGGCGUACCGGGCGGAUGACGACUACGACUACCUCUUCAAGGUGGUGCUCAUCGGCGACUCGGGCGUCGGGAAAUCCAACCUCCUCACCCGGUUCACGCGCAACGAGUUCAGCCUGGAGUCAAAGUCCACAAUUGGGGUCGAGUUCGCUACCAGGAGCAUUAGGGUCGACGAUAAGGUCGUCAAGGCGCAGAUCUGGGAUACCGCUGGCCAAGAGAGAUAUCGUGCAAUUACAAGCGCAUAUUACAGAGGAGCUGUCGGUGCGCUUGUUGUGUAUGAUGUGACACGCCAUGUGACCUUCGAGAAUGUGGAGAGGUGGCUGAAGGAGCUCAAGGACCAUACCGAUGCUAACAUUGUGAUCAUGCUAGUCGGCAACAAGGCCGACCUGCGCCACUUGCGGGCUGUCUCUGUGGAGGAUGCCAAGGCAUUUGCGGAGAGGGAAUACACCUUUUUCAUGGAAACCUCUGCCCUGGAGGCCAUGAAUGUAGAGGACGCUUUCACUGAGGUGUUAACCCAGAUCUACCGAGUGGUCAGCAAGAAAGCUCUUGACAUCGGCGACGACCCUGCCGCUCCACCACGAGGGCAGACCAUCAACGUAGGGUCCAAAGACGAUGUCUCUGCCGUAAAGAAGGCUGGAUGUUGCUCAUCCUAA
This 651-nucleotide ribosomal RNA is filed under the name Triticum aestivum (bread wheat). RNAcentral's name for it is "partial small subunit ribosomal RNA". Lineage: Eukaryota; Viridiplantae; Streptophyta; Magnoliopsida; Poales; Poaceae. The record is from RNAcentral.